CUAAUUAUAAGUUAAGUAUAAUGUAUAUAUCAUUUACAAUGAUAAGGACUAUUUAAUAGAACUUAUA
This 67-nucleotide transfer RNA is filed under the name Sigaloeista ramula. RNAcentral's name for it is "tRNA-Val". The record is from RNAcentral. Lineage: Eukaryota; Metazoa; Mollusca; Gastropoda; Stylommatophora; Helicarionidae.